AUACAGAGGGUGCGAGCGUUAAUCGGAAUUACUGGGCGUAAAGCGCGCGUAGGCGGCUACUUAAGUCGGAUGUGAAAUCCCCGGGCUCAACCUGGGAACUGCAUCUGAUACUGGGUAGCUAGAGUUUAGGAGAGGGAAGUAGAAUUUCAGGUGUAGCGGUGAAAUGCAUAGAGAUCUGAAGGAAUACCAGUGGCGAAGGCGGCUUCCUGGCCUAAAACUGACGCUGAGGUGCGAGAGCGUGGGUAGCAAACGGGAUUAGAAACCCCAGUAGUCC
This 274-nucleotide ribosomal RNA is filed under the name uncultured bacterium. RNAcentral describes it as "partial 16S ribosomal RNA". It matches the Rfam family "Bacterial small subunit ribosomal RNA", at positions 523 to 796 of the family's 1533-position model. The record is from RNAcentral.